UACGUAGGGGGCAAGCGUUGUCCGGAAUCAUUGGGCGUAAAGGGCGCGUAGGCGGCGGGGUAAGUCGGGUGUGAAAUCUCAGAGCUCAACUCUGAAACUGCACUCGAUACUGCUCUGCUUGAGGACUGGAGAGGAGACUGGAAUUCACGGUGUAGCAGUGAAAUGCGUAGAUAUCGUGAGGAAGACCAGUGGCGAAGGCGGGUCUCUGGACAGUUACUGACGCUGAGGCACGAAGGCCUGGGGAGCAAACGGG
Molecule: ribosomal RNA, 253 nt
Filed under: uncultured bacterium
Lineage: Bacteria
Description: partial 16S ribosomal RNA
Rfam family: Bacterial small subunit ribosomal RNA
Source: RNAcentral